RNAcentral lists this small RNA (649 nucleotides) under Pan troglodytes (chimpanzee). RNAcentral describes it as "processed transcript". Lineage: Eukaryota; Metazoa; Chordata; Mammalia; Primates; Hominidae. The record is from RNAcentral.
UCCAAACCUGCGUGAACAGAAUGCUAAAGGAUAGGAAGUGUGAGAAGAAUGCUUUGAAAGAAACUUUAAAAACAAAACGACCGACUAUUCAGAGAAUACCAGGUCUUAUGUGGAAUCAUCUAGCACGUGCAAAGUUCCCCAUCAAGUGGACGGCCCCCGAGGCAGCCCUGUACGGGAGGUUCACAAUCAAGUCUGACGUGUGGUCUUUUGGAAUCUUACUCACAGAGCUGGUCACCAAAGGAAGAGUGCCAUACCCAGGCAUGAACAACCGGGAGGUGCUGGAGCAGGUCGAGCGAGGCUACAGGAUGCCCUGCCCGCAGGACUGCCCCAUCUCUCUGCAUGAGCUCAUGAUCCACUGCUGGAAAAAGGACCCUGAAGAACGCCCCACUUUUGAGUACUUGCAGAGCUUCCUGGAAGACUACUUUACCGCGACAGAGCCCCAGUACCAACCUGGUGAAAACCUGUAAGGCCCGGGUCUGCGGAGAGAGGCCUUGUCCCAGAGGCUGCCCCACCCCUCCCCAUUAGCUUUCAAUUCCGUAGCCAGCUGCUCCCCAGCAGCGGAACCGCCCAGGAUCAGAUUGCAUGUGACUCUGAAGCUGACGAACUUCCAUGGCCCUCAUUAAUGACACUUGUCCCCAAAUCCGAACCU